CCCUACGGGGGGCAGCAGUGAGGAAUAUUGGUCAAUGGGCGCAAGCCUGAACCAGCCAAGUCGCGUGAGGGAAGACGGUCCUAUGGAUUGUAAACCUCUUUUGCCGGGGAGCAAUGCAGGCCUUGCGAGGCCUGAGGGAGAGUACCCGGAGAAAAAGCAUCGGCUAACUCCGUGCCAGCAGCCGCGGUAAUACGGAGGAUGCGAGCGUUAUCCGGAUUUAUUGGGUUUAAAGGGUGCGCAGGCGGAGGUGCAAGUCAGCGGUCAAAUUGCGGGGCUCAACCCCGUACUGCCGUUGAAACUGCAUC
This 305-nucleotide ribosomal RNA is filed under the name uncultured bacterium. RNAcentral describes it as "bacterial SSU rRNA". It matches the Rfam family "Bacterial small subunit ribosomal RNA", at positions 337 to 639 of the family's 1533-position model. The record is from RNAcentral.